CCUAGAUCCUGUGCUUUACUCUGAAGUCAGGGAAGGUCUGUGGAGAGUUCUCUUCAAGCAUGAAAUGAAUAACAGCUGCCUUUCCUUCUCAAGAAAACACUAUCUCUGUGCCCUACUUUUCCUGUGGCCAAAACAAUUGCCUAGAUGCUUAUCAAUUUGUUCUAAUGUAUCAGUAGUUCACUAGAUCUUUUGCUAAUAUUUGUAAAGUAUUUUAUAUGAGAAAGCACUCUUAAUCACUGAAUUAACACUAUUUCCAUAGUUAUUACACAAGUUUAUUUAAAUAUGAGGUGUUUACAUUUUAGAAAAGAAAAGUAUUUUAAUUUUACCAAAUAAAUUUUUCCUUAGUAACAAUGGUGCAUGGAUGAAGGAUUUUUCUACACACUUAAAUUCCUUCUUCUUCCCACCCACACUUGGUAUUUACAUUUUCUAAACAGACACUCACAAAGUACAUGUUAAAAUGCACAAGAGCUUGGUUUUUAGUAAGAGUACAGUGUUGCCAAAUGGAAAGGUUUGGUGUUUUGUUUUUAUUUUUAUAGUUUUUAAGACUUGUUGUGAGCUAACUCAGACUGCUUUUCAGCUGCCUUUAAAUCAGUAUUUGAUGUCUUUUAUAGAAAUUGCCUGAUGCAGUGUGUAACACUGACUUGAUUCUUAUGGCACAUUCAAUACAGAAUGUCCAGUGUUCACUGUCUUUCUUAUUUGUCCUUCUCAGGAUAUUGCUUUAUUGGAAUUUUCUUAACAGAUGUUUAAAAUAUGAUUAACAAUAUUCACGGAUCACUAAGAACACAUGAAUGCAAAAUGAGUUCUCACACAGAAUUAUCGAGGCUUGAAAUAUCCAAUUCAUUAGGCCUCUAGAAGUGAGGAGUGUAUAAUGUUGUUUGUGUGCCUUCAGUUUUUUAUAGAGCACUUUUACAAGGACACUGCUUAUUUUUAAUAGUUUUUCAUUUUGUUUACUCUCCAGUGUUUGUAAUAAUCUUUUAGAAGCUUGAAAAUAAAAUUCCUUUCCACACUG
Non-coding RNA from Pelodiscus sinensis (Chinese soft-shelled turtle), 1009 nucleotides. The record is from RefSeq and is a predicted model, not a curated record. Lineage: Eukaryota; Metazoa; Chordata; Testudines; Trionychidae.